CGCGUAGGCGGCUCGGUAAGUCUGGAGUGAAAGUCCUGCUUUUAAGGUGGGAAUUGCUUUGGAUACUGUCGGGCUUGAGUGCAGGAGAGGUUAGUGGAAUUCCCAGUGUAGCGGUGAAAUGCGUAGAGACUGGGAGGAACACCAGUGGCGAAGGCGACUAACUGGACUGUAACUGACGCUGAGGCGCGAAAGUGUGGGGAGCAAACA
This 207-nucleotide ribosomal RNA is filed under the name uncultured bacterium. RNAcentral describes it as "partial 16S ribosomal RNA". It matches the Rfam family "Bacterial small subunit ribosomal RNA", at positions 568 to 774 of the family's 1533-position model. The record is from RNAcentral.